RNAcentral lists this ribosomal RNA (1011 nucleotides) under Chryseobacterium sp. RNAcentral describes it as "bacterial SSU rRNA". It matches the Rfam family "Bacterial small subunit ribosomal RNA", at positions 451 to 1475 of the family's 1533-position model. The record is from RNAcentral. Lineage: Bacteria; Pseudomonadati; Bacteroidota; Flavobacteriia; Flavobacteriales; Weeksellaceae.
CCUACUCUCGUGAGAGUAGCUGAAGGUACUAUACGAAUAAGCACCGGCUAACUCCGUGCCAGCAGCCGCGGUAAUACGGAGGGUGCAAGCGUUAUCCGGAUUUAUUGGGUUUAAAGGGUCCGUAGGCGGACCGAUAAGUCAGUGGUGAAAUCUCAUAGCUUAACUAUGAAACUGCCGUUGAUACUGUCGGUCUUGAGUAAAUUUGAAGUGGCUGGAAUAAGUAGUGUAGCGGUGAAAUGCAUAGAUAUUACUUAGAACACCAAUUGCGAAGGCAGGUCACUAAGAUUUAACUGACGCUGAGGGACGAAAGCGUGGGGAGCGAACAGGAUUAGAUACCCUGGUAGUCCACGCCGUAAACGAUGCUAACUCGUUUUUGGGGCGCAAGCUUCAGAGACCAAGCGAAAGUGAUAAGUUAGCCACCUGGGGAGUACGUCCGCAAGGAUGAAACUCAAAGGAAUUGACGGGGGCCCGCACAAGCGGUGGAUUAUGUGGUUUAAUUCGAUGAUACGCGAGGAACCUUACCAAGACUUAAAUGGGAAAUGACAGGUUUAGAAAUAGACCCUUCUUCGGACAUUUUCCAAGGUGCUGCAUGGUUGUCGUCAGCUCGUGCCGUGAGGUGUUAGGUUAAGUCCUGCAACGAGCGCAACCCCUGUCACUAGUUGCUAACAUUCAGUUGAGGACUCUAGUGAGACUGCCUACGCAAGUAGAGAGGAAGGUGGGGAUGACGUCAAAUCAUCACGGCCCUUACGUCUUGGGCCACACACGUAAUACAAUGGCCGGUACAGAGGGCAGCUACCUAGCGAUAGGAUGCAAAUCUCGAAAGCCGGUCUCAGUUCGGAUUGGAGUCUGCAACUCGACUCUAUGAAGCUGGAAUCGCUAGUAAUCGCGCAUCAGCCAUGGCGCGGUGAAUACGUUCCCGGGCCUUGUACACACCGCCCGUCAAGCCAUGGAAGUCUGGGGUACCUGAAGUCGGUGACCGUAAAAGGAGCUGCCUUAAGGGUAAAAGCCAAU